Molecule: long non-coding RNA, 557 nt
Filed under: Microcebus murinus (gray mouse lemur)
Lineage: Eukaryota; Metazoa; Chordata; Mammalia; Primates; Cheirogaleidae
Description: lncRNA (ENSMICG00000048529.1)
Source: RNAcentral
CUUUCUGGGUUGGGAAAAAGCCACCGCUUCUCCACUUUGCGGUUUUCCAGGCUGUUGUGCAAACAGAAAAGACCGGUGCUGUUGGAAUAAGGCCAGGCGCACGCGGCGAGGUGGGCACCAAAGGCCGACACCGUAAUCAUCUACUGGUUUGGAAGCGAACCCCAGAGCGUGGCGAGAGGCGAGGAGAUGGUGAGGAAGUGACGGCCGUGUGGUGAGACGUGAAGUCGGAUGCUGACAUUUUCCUGUGAUCACAAGGAGGAGAAAAGGGGCAGUCGGCACCUGUGCAGGUCUGUGCCAGCUCUACUCAGGGAGGCAGAGAUGGCGAGAGCCUGCUGUGACCCCGUCCUCCUCCUCCUCCCUGCACGGCUGUACCUGGGCCCAGCGGCGUGUGGUCCUGAGGAGUCCCCGUGUGGCCCACCACGUGGAGUUGGGGCAGCGAAAAUGGGAGAGGCAGAUGCUUUGUCAACCUCCCGUGAGCUCACCCGGCUGGUGGGCUGGCGCAAGGCGAAAGCGAUUUUGUGGCCAGAGCUCACCCAAGAACCUCAACGCAGGAGCAC